ACAUUAUUAUAUUAAACCAAACAAACUAAUGCAGUUGUAACAUACCAGAUUUUGGUAUAAAAAUAAAAAUAAAUAAAAAUAGUGUGAGAAACUAUUUUUAUUGAAUUUGUGGAAGUAAAACAUAAGUCAGAAGUGACUUGUGCCGAAAUCGGAAUGAAAACAGAAAAUCUAGAAUUAUCUGUUGGAAACGGGACAGAUAAAUUAGCAGAAAAUGCACAGUCUCAGAAAAUUAUGAAAAUUGGAGGAUUAGUCAGAAAUAUUUUUAUGAGGCUAGUUUUAAAGUUUCAUAUUUUUCUGACACCCGUAGAGUGAGAAAUAAAAUCCGAAAGCUAUCUGAUAAAGAUUGCAGUUCGGUACAGUUUUCAGUGACCAAACGGAGUCGAAAUUGAACCAGUGAUCGUCAGCUUGUUAAGUUAAGUAAAACCGAACAUGACUGUCAAGUUUGAGCUCAAACGGACAUUCAGGGAGCUCCGCCGCGAAAGUUAUCAAAUUUUAAG
This 497-nucleotide long non-coding RNA is filed under the name Ananas comosus (pineapple). RNAcentral describes it as "long non-coding RNA (ACOM_LNC029131)". The record is from RNAcentral. Lineage: Eukaryota; Viridiplantae; Streptophyta; Magnoliopsida; Poales; Bromeliaceae.